GGUAGGAUGGCUGAGAAUUAAGCGGUGGAUUGUAGCCCCACAUACAGAGGUUUGAGUCCUCUUUCUACCA
RNAcentral lists this transfer RNA (70 nucleotides) under Sillago sihama (northern whiting). Its description in RNAcentral is "tRNA-Tyr". It matches the Rfam family "tRNA". Rfam says of the family: Transfer RNA (tRNA) molecules are approximately 80 nucleotides in length. Their secondary structure includes four short double-helical elements and three loops (D, anti-codon, and T loops). RNAcentral also lists the same sequence under 1 other name. The record is from RNAcentral. Lineage: Eukaryota; Metazoa; Chordata; Actinopteri; Sillaginidae.